RNAcentral lists this small RNA (830 nucleotides) under Drosophila pseudoobscura pseudoobscura. Its description in RNAcentral is "GA31425". Lineage: Eukaryota; Metazoa; Arthropoda; Insecta; Diptera; Drosophilidae. The record is from RNAcentral.
AAAUUAUUUUCGGGAAAAAAAAAUGUGAAAAUUUUUGAGUAAAAAAAUUUGUGUGUAAAAAUGUUUACGCGAGUUCAAAAAUUUUGUUUGUGAAAUGUUUCACAAGUGUUAAAAUUAUUAUUCGUAAAUCCUAAUUCCAAUGAUGGCUAAAAGUAUCUCCACACAAUUUAUCAAAUACUCCAUACUCCAAACUACACAAACUACACAAUUUACACUUUAAGCUACACAGUCCACACUCAUCGAACCGCAUUUCUAUCUACCAGACUCUUAUACACAAACUACACUUCGAUAAGCAUAUACAUAUGUAUAAGCAUACUUCUUAUACGCUAAUCUGCACACUUAUACACUGAUCUGCACACUUAUCUACACACUAUGCCAAUCUGCAGAGUUAUUUGCACUCUACGCCAAUCUGCAGAGUUAUAUGCACUCUACGCCAAUCUGCAAUCUUAUUUCCAUCCCACACCAAUCUGCAAAACCAACCUAACCUACACUCUACGCACUGGAGGCAAUUAAGCAAAGCAAAUGAAAAAUGGUCGAUUUGAACCAAGUCAAUACUCAAAGGAUACGUGUUUAGCCAUAUGUUUGGAAUUAGGGUAAAAGUUUACAAGUUUCGCAACGCAAUCGUCUAUUUGGGGUGGAUGCAGCAAUAAUGAUUUCUACAGAUACGGGUUAUGUUUUAAAGAAAGCCAUACACAGAAUGGCUUUUCUUUCACUUAAUACAAAUUAAUACCGAAGGACCAGCUGGGAUUAGUCAACACAAGUUUUUUUUCAAAGUUCCAUGUUAAAAAAGAUAUAAUAAAAAAGAUGUCUGAUUGUGAUUAUUAUUAACA